Molecule: ribosomal RNA, 483 nt
Filed under: uncultured Glomeromycotina
Lineage: Eukaryota; Fungi; Glomeromycota
Description: SSU rRNA
Rfam family: Eukaryotic small subunit ribosomal RNA
Source: RNAcentral
AGCGUAUAUUAAAGUUGUUGCAGUUAAAAAGCUCGUAAUUGAAUUUCGGGAUUAAUAUGUUGGUCGUGCCUUGGUACGUACUGGUAUUAUUGAUUCCUACCUUCUGAAGAACCUCGAUGUCAUUAAUUUGGUGUCUUGGGGAAUCAGGACCGUUACUUUGAAAAAAUUAGAGUGUUUAAAGCAGGCUCGCGCUUGAAUACAUUAGCAUGGAAUAAUGAAAUAGGACGUUUGAUUCUAUUUUGUUGGUUUCUAGGAUCGACGUAAUGAUUAAUAGGGAUAGUUGGGGGCAUUAGUAUUCAAUUGUCAGAGGUGAAAUUCUUGGAUUUAUUGAAGACUGACUACUGCGAAAGCAUUUGCCAAGGAUGUUUUCAUUAAUCAAGAACGAAAGUUAGGGGAUCGAAGACGAUCAGAUACCGUCGUAGUCUUAACCAUAAACUAUGCCGACUAGGGAUCGGAUGAUGUUAAUUUUUUAAUGACUCAUUC